UGGGGAAUUUUGCACAAUGGGGGCAACCCUGAUGCAGCGACGCCGCGUGAUUUAGAAGGCCUUCGGGGUGUAAAAAUCUUUUGUAUAGGAAGAAAAUGACAGUACUAUACGAAUAAGGACCGGCUAAUUACGUGCCAGCAGCCGCGGUAAUACGUAAGGACCGAGCGUUGUCCGGAAUCAUUGGGCGUAAAGGGUACGUAGGCGGUUAAAAAAGUUAGAAGUGAAAGGCUAUAGCUAAACUAUAGUAAGCUUUUAAAACUGUUUAACUUGAGAGAUGGAAGGGAAAGUGGAAUUCCUAGUGUAGCGGUGAAAUGCGCAGAUAUUAGGAGGAAUACCGGUGGCGAAGGCGACUUUCUGGCCAUUAUCUGACGCUGAGGUACGAAAGCGUGGGUAGCAAACAGG
Molecule: ribosomal RNA, 402 nt
Filed under: Actinomycetes bacterium
Lineage: Bacteria; Bacillati; Actinomycetota; Actinomycetes
Description: Actinobacteria bacterium partial 16S ribosomal RNA
Rfam family: Bacterial small subunit ribosomal RNA
Source: RNAcentral